UGAGGAAUAUUGCGCAAUGGCCGAAAGGCUGACGCAGCGACGCCGCGUGAAGGAUGAAGUCCGUUAGGACGUAAACUUCUUUUGCAGGGGAUGAACAGUCCGUUUUACGGAUUUGACCGUACCCUGCGAAUAAGGAUCGGCUAACUACGUG
RNAcentral lists this ribosomal RNA (151 nucleotides) under uncultured bacterium. RNAcentral's name for it is "partial 16S rRNA". It matches the Rfam family "Bacterial small subunit ribosomal RNA", at positions 355 to 507 of the family's 1533-position model. The record is from RNAcentral.